This 635-nucleotide long non-coding RNA is filed under the name Rattus norvegicus (Norway rat). RNAcentral's name for it is "long non-coding RNA NONRATT016255". The record is from RNAcentral. Lineage: Eukaryota; Metazoa; Chordata; Mammalia; Rodentia; Muridae.
CUUAGACAGGGAACCGGUGGCCAGACCCAAUACUGGCCGUUUUCAGCAGCUGACAUUUACAAUUGGAAACAACACAACCCUUCUUUCUCCAAAGAUCCGGUGGCACUCACCGACCUAAUAGAAUCUGUUUUACUUACCCACCAGCCUACUUGGGAUGACUGCCAACAGCUCUUACAGGCCCUCUUAACCUCAGAAAAAAAAAAAACAAGGAGUGUUCCUAGAGGCCAGAAAGCAUGUUCUGGGAGAUGAUGGGCGUCCCACCCAGCUGCCUGAGGACCAAACUGGGAUUUUAAUACAGCUGAAGGUAAGGGACACCUACGCCUUUAUCGCCAGUUGCUUCUAGCGGGUCUCCAAGGGGCUAUACGACGCCCUACUAAUUUGGCUCAGGUAAAACAGGUAUUACAGGAAGCAGGGGAAACUCCCUCCGCCUUUCUAGAGAGACUUAAGGAGGCCUACCGUAUGUAUACUCCCUAUGACCCAGAUGACCCAGGACAAAUGACGAGUGUCUCUAUGUCCUUCAUCUGGCAGGCUGCUCCAGAUAUCAGGACUAAGUUACAGAGGUUAGAAAAUUUACAGGGCUAUACAUUACAGGAUUUACUUAAAGAAGCUAAAAAGAUUUUUAAUAAAAAAGAGAU